AACACUCCAAGCCUUUGGAAGUAAAAUCCCAUAUCAAUAUCCAGCUUGGCAGCUCUCCCAGCUCAACAUCCAUCAGUUUCUUCUUCAUCAGCGCCCUGAACUUGUAGGUGUGGGAGAACUGACCCUGAGGAUCUGGAAGCGGAAGAACCGGCUCCGCCCCUUGCUCAUCCCUACAAGGGGUGACCUAAUCAGGGCAACGCAAGAGAACUCAUCCUGGUGGUGAAGACCGGAGAGCUGGCGGGUUGACCAACCCUGCAACUACCCAGGCCCAGAACCAGAUGUCUGGAUUGGCUGUUUUGGCUAUCAUAAUUCCUCGAGCAGAAAGAGAGAACAUCAAGAUGGAAGUUCCUAGCUACUGCUCCAGUGUCAUGCCUACUUGCCUGCUGCCAUGUUCCCUGGAAUGAUGGCCAUGGACUCUAACCCUGUCCGGUAAGUGUGGUUCUCACCCCUCAUCACAGAAGCUUAUCUUUGCAACAGACAAGACUAUUACAGCAAACCACAACCAAUCCAAAAUGAACAGAAUAUGAGAUCCUGUGGUGUCCUGUCCCAGCUGCUCUAUCUACAACACAAUUCCUGCAUCUAAGGCUCUGGGAUCAUGGAGGAAGUGGGAACAGAAAAACUCUAAAAGAGAGACAAGCAGGAAGUUUGCUGUGAGGCUGUAUCACCUCGAAAUGUCAGAGCCUACAUACAUUAAGUCUCAUCAAUAUGGCUACCUAAAUAAGAUCUGAACAAUGACAACACCAAUGAGCAUGCUAACAUCAAAGAGGGAAAGCUUUUGGGGUCUCAAUCCUUAACAGAGCACUACAGACAACGGGGAAUGCAGAGAAUAGAAGAAAUGGUCUUCAUCAGGGAAGGGCCCUCCGACGGGUAAUCUAAUAUCAAGUGGUCAGCUCUGAGAUCAUAAACAUACAGGUAACAUUAUAUGCACUGAGCAGGCUGCAUAUAGGGAGAACUAAAGAAAGAGCCAUGA
Long non-coding RNA from Peromyscus eremicus (cactus mouse), 970 nucleotides. RefSeq lists it as uncharacterized. The record is from RefSeq and is a predicted model, not a curated record. Lineage: Eukaryota; Metazoa; Chordata; Mammalia; Rodentia; Cricetidae. The transcript has 5 exons.